RNAcentral lists this ribosomal RNA (460 nucleotides) under uncultured bacterium. RNAcentral's name for it is "partial 16S ribosomal RNA". It matches the Rfam family "Bacterial small subunit ribosomal RNA", at positions 338 to 795 of the family's 1533-position model. The record is from RNAcentral.
CCUACGGGAGACAGCAGUGAGGAAUAUUGGUCAAUGGACGCAAGUCUGAACCAGCCAUGCCGCGUGCAGGAAGACGGCUCUAUGAGUUGUAAACUGCUUUUGUACGAGGGUAAACGCAGAUACGCGUAUCUGUCUGAAAGUAUCGUACGAAUAAGGAUCGGCUAACUCCGGGCCAGCCGCCGCGGUAAUACGGAGGAUUCAAGCGUUAUCCGGAUUUAUUGGGUUUAAAGGGUGCGUAGGCGGUCGGAUAAGUUAGGGGUGAAAUCCCGAGGCUCAACUUCGGAAUUGCCUCUGAUACUGUUCGGCUAGAGAGUAGUUGCGGUAGGCGGAAUGUAUGGUGUAGCGGUGAAAUGCUUAGAGAUCAUACAGAACACCGAUUGCGAAGGCAGCUUACCAAGCUACUUCUGACGUUGAGGCACGAAAGCGUGGGGAGCAAACAGGAUUAGAUACCCGGGUAGUC